Molecule: ribosomal RNA, 497 nt
Filed under: uncultured bacterium
Lineage: Bacteria
Description: partial 16S ribosomal RNA
Rfam family: Bacterial small subunit ribosomal RNA
Source: RNAcentral
GAUGAACGCUGGCGGCGUGCCUAAUACAUGCAAGUCGAGCGAACGGACGAGAAGCUUGCUUUUCUGAUGUUAGCGGCGGACGGGUGAGUAACACGUGGAUAACCUACCUAUAAGACUGGGAUAACUUCGGGAAACCGGAGCUAAUACCGGAUAAUAUUUUGAACCGCAUGGUUCAAAAGUGAAAGACGGUCUUGCUGUCACUUAUAGAUGGAUCCGCGCUGCAUUGGCUAGUUGGUAAGGUAACGGCUUACCAAGGCAACGAUGCAUAGCCGACCUGAGAGGGUGAUCGGCCACACUGGAACUGAGACACGGUCCAGACUCCUACGGGAGGCAGCAGUAGGGAAUCUUCCGCAAUGGGCGAAAGCCUGACGGAGCAACGCCGCGUGAGUGAUGAAGGUCUUCGGAUCGUAAAACUCUGUUAUUAGGGAAGAACAUAUGUGUAAGUAGCUGUGCACAUCUUGACGGUACCUAAUCAGAAAGCCACGGCUAACUACGUG